GUGCGGGCCCUGUGCAACGGAACACCGUGAACCAUGUCAGGCGGGGAACCGAGCAGCAUUAAGCGGAACGUUCUGUGUGCCGCAGUCAGCCUGCACACC
Molecule: signal recognition particle RNA, 99 nt
Filed under: Oscillospiraceae bacterium
Lineage: Bacteria; Bacillati; Bacillota; Clostridia; Eubacteriales; Oscillospiraceae
Description: signal recognition particle sRNA small type
Rfam family: Bacterial small signal recognition particle RNA
About the family: The signal recognition particle (SRP) is a universally conserved ribonucleoprotein involved in the co-translational targeting of proteins to membranes. Archaeal SRP consists of a 7S RNA and homologues of the eukaryotic SRP19 and SRP54 proteins.
Source: RNAcentral